AGUGAACGCUGGCGGUAGGCCUAACACAUGCAAGUCGAACGGCAGCACAGUAAGAGCUUGCUCUUACGGGUGGCGAGUGGCGGACGGGUGAGGAAUACAUCGGAAUCUACUUUUUCGUGGGGGAUAACGUAGGGAAACUUACGCUAAUACCGCAUGCGACCUACGGGUGAAAGCAGGGGAUCUUCGGACCUUGCGCGAUUAAAUGAGCCGAUGUCGGAUUAGCUAGUUGGCGGGGUAAAGGCCCACCAAGGCGACGAUCCGUAGCUGGUCUGAGAGGAUGAUCAGCCACACUGGAACUGAGACACGGUCCAGACUCCUACGGGAGGCAGCAGUGGGGAAUAUUGGACAAUGGGCGCAAGCCUGAUCCAGCCAUACCGCGUGGGUGAAGAAGGCCUUCGGGUUGUAAAGCCCUUUUGUUGGGAAAGAAAAGCAGCAGGUUAAUACCCCGCUGUUCUGACGGUACCCAAAGAAUGAGCACCGGCUAACUUCGUG
RNAcentral lists this ribosomal RNA (492 nucleotides) under uncultured bacterium. RNAcentral describes it as "partial 16S ribosomal RNA". It matches the Rfam family "Bacterial small subunit ribosomal RNA", at positions 29 to 507 of the family's 1533-position model. The record is from RNAcentral.